UUGAAAGAUGAAAUCCAUCCAUUAUUCCAGACACUUUAAAAUCUACCCUUGGAUUUGGACAAAUCAGAAGACAGCUGCAUACCUGGAUGGUAGCUCACAGGCAAAUAUACAGAAAUGUAUAAAGAAACUGACUUCAGUAAAGAUAAGUGAGUAGCCGAAAAUCCCACUUAAAGAGGCAAAACCAUAUUGGAACCAAUGUUACAAUGAAUCCUAGUAGGCUUCUACAACAUGCUUGGUCACUUCAACACCAGGAUCCUGCAGCACUCGCAGCUUCUUCAGUGCCUAGCUCCUGUGGUGUAGGUGCAUAUCAGCCAACAGCACUCAGAAACCCAGUAGCAUCUUCCAGCAUUCCCUCCUGAUUCUGUAUGUUUUUUUAUUCAGAGUGCCUAAGGUAAAGACAUCUUAUGAUCAGCUUUCCUCAGCACCCCAGAGGGAGAAUUUCCUGCAAGUUCUGCCGGCAUGGCACCGCAAGACUUCUCUGUCACCCAGUGAGCAUGACUGUGCUCACAGGUCUGAACUGCAGCUCUGAGAGGCAAACCAGGAGGACCUUUCUUGGAUGUUCCAUCUCAGCUAGAGGAAAAGCCCUAAGAGAUCCUAGCCUGGAGAAUCAUGGAGCCAUGUCGUUAGGAGUUUGAGAUCAUUAUCACAGGAAAAAGAGAACAGCGAGGAGAAAAGGAUAAUAGAGGAAAAGAGCAGAAAGAAGCCAUUUAUAUCUGACUGCUGCUGUGGGAGUUACAGAAUCUCCUUCUUCAACUUGGGCCCUUUGCAGAUGGUGUCUCUACAAAGCAAAGUGAAAUGGACGGUUUUCCAGCUAAUUUGUUUUGUAUGGACAGCCAAGCUGGACACUUGCAGACCACAAAGUCUGUGAAUGAGAACCUGGGAGCUGACAUGAGAAGAAUUGAGCUGGAGCCUUUUGCCAUCACUGAAUAAAUAACUUACCCUCUUGAAUCCUUACCUGUACAACUGGCAUGAGACACCAGCCUGCCUUUCACACAGCUUGUGAUCUAAUAAGAUAAUGCUUAUGUACCUGUUUUAAUAUAAAUAGACUGAUAUUAAAAUGGCACAUAACACAAUCAUUUUUACUACAUCAGUCUUCAUUAUAAAUUAUUUUAUAUGUAUUGAUAGGACUGAGUUGCUAGAUUUUCAAAUGAAUGUUUGAUGAGUUACACCAAGAUAAUACAAGCAUUUUUAAUAUUUAUAGACAAAAAAGUUUAUUUUUCAUAUUUCUGAUGAUGAGAGAAAGAUUCUUAUUUUGUCUGUUAUUAAAUAAGCUGGAUGUACACAAGUUUUCACAUUUUCUGAUUAAAAAAAGAUUUUAAAAGAAAAAAAAUGUUAAUCAAAUGCCCGUAUGGGGAGAAGUAAAAUUUUUGUUGUGGCAAAGUUAAAGUGCACCUCUCUCAACAACACUGAAUUUUUGCAAACACUGAGUAUUUACUUGGUUCAGCCAAUGUUAGUUGUAAGUUUAAGGUAAUUAUAGUACUUGAAUGGUAUAGAGGAGGAUAGCUAUUACAAAUUGGGGGAGAAGGAAAGGAACUUCAGUGGUCUCGGAAAAUUUAAGACAGAAUUUGACCGUUCUUGUUUUUUAAAAACACGAUGCCCCAUCAUCCUUUGAUCCACCAGUAAGAAUAUGAAGCUGCACCCCACAAGCUACAUAGCAUAAGGUGAUUUAAUGCAUUGUCUAUAUUUUAUACUAUAUUACAAUGCAGCUUACACAUAUUCAAAACAAUUGUUAGGCUACAGCUUUGUCACAUUGUGCAUUAUUUACAAUCACUUGUAAAUCCAGAAAAAUACACACGCGGAGAAAUGAAAGCAGGAGGUAGAGAUUGUUUUAAUGUGAUUAUAUUGGCAUCUGAUAUGAUAGUGCUUUGGACCAUAUUGACAUGAGUGAGGAUUCUAAGUAGCAACUGUUCAAUACCAUCCGUUGGACUUCUCUGAUAGACCACUUAACUAUCUCAGCUUUUCCAGUGAUCAUCUCAUUUAUCUAGGAUUAUUGCACUGAAUUUACUGUUUGGUUUUCUUCCAGAACUGAAAUGUCAAGUCCAGUGUCAUGUAUGCAGUAGCUUUGUGCUGUGAGAGCUUCACAGAUCCCCCAAAAGCUGCUAGCAGUUGAUCUUUGGAUAGAGCUAGAAAUAAAUAAAUCCUCUUUAGCAGAUCAAUAUUCAUCCCAUUUAAUGCUUGAUGUGAAACUUGUGGAUUUGUGGUGGUAAUGCUGAUGUACAGCUAAUCGUUGAAAAUGGGCAUUAGGGCUUUUAUAGCAUGGCAACAUAUUGUCAGGCAGGAAGGGAAAGAAGUGGAAAACACAGCCUGGAAAAAAAAUAUGAUUCAGGCUGCCCCUGCUGAAUUUUAGAGAGCGUCAAAACUUAUUGGUUAAAGGGAUGCCUUUAUGAGUAAAACAUGAGAAAUAUUCACUUACUAGGUAAGCAAUUUGUAAGGACUGGAAGUAGAAAUUAAGCAACCAAGACAAGAAGGCUGUCCUAUCAGUUUCAAGAACAACUAAGAGGAUGUUAAAGGACAGCAGAGGGAGCCCCUGCAUGACUUAAGAAAACCGAAGGCAGGCAGAACAGAGACUUUUCAGGGUGCGAAGUUACGCAUGGUGCCCUCUACUGGAGUCACUGGUAAAGAGUUUUGAUUUCAAAAAGAAAUUGACGUAGAAUUUGUUCUUGUUCCAUUGUAUUGGUGAAGAAACUGAAGUUCAAAGUAAUUGGCAGAACAUACUACUUUGGGCAGUAUGGGAGUAGAGGCCUAUGGACGACCAGCAACAGGAAGAAAAUGAGGCAGAGAAAGAUAAAGUGAUGUUUCAAGGCCACAUGACAAGGAAGAAGCAGAGUUAGGAUUCCACCCUAGAAACUCUGGCUCCUCAGAUGGUAAGUUUUGCCAUUGUGCCCUACUGUCUCUUCAUAUACUUUAUGAAUUGAAGAGGCCUCCUUUUUAUAUAUUCGUGAUAUGCUCUGUGCUGUAGUUUUCCUUUAGAAACACCAGAACCCCCAAAACAUGUACAGGUAUUCUAUCACUCAAUAAUUAUUCAGCACCUAACAUAUGCCCAACAUUCAGUCACUAGACAUAUAAUGGUGUAUUAGUCCAUUUUCACACUGCUGAUAAAGACAUACCUCAGACUGGGAAAUUUACAAAAGAAAGGGGUUUCACUGGACUCACAAUCAUGAUGGAAGGCAAGGAGGAGCAAGUCAUGUCUUACGUGGAUGGCAGCAGGCAAACAGAGAACUUGUGCAGAGAAACGCCCAUUUUUAAAACUGUAAGAUCUCGUGAGACCCAUUCACUAUCAUGAGAACAGCACGGGAAAGACACACCCCCAUGAUUCAAUCAUCUCCCACCAGGUCCCUCCCACAACAUGUGGGAAUUAUGGGAGCUACAAGAUGAGAUUUGGGUGGGGAUAUAGAGCCAAACCAUAUCAAAUGGUAAAAA
Molecule: long non-coding RNA, 3420 nt
Filed under: Homo sapiens (human)
Lineage: Eukaryota; Metazoa; Chordata; Mammalia; Primates; Hominidae
Description: HSALNT0076232
Source: RNAcentral